This 253-nucleotide ribosomal RNA is filed under the name uncultured bacterium. Its description in RNAcentral is "partial 16S ribosomal RNA". It matches the Rfam family "Bacterial small subunit ribosomal RNA", at positions 524 to 776 of the family's 1533-position model. The record is from RNAcentral.
UACAGAGGUCUCAAGCGUUGUUCGGAUUCAUUGGGCGUAAAGGGUGCGUAGGCGGCGCGGUAAGUCGGGUGUGAAAUCUCGGAGCUUAACUCCGAAACUGCAUUCGAUACUGCCGUGCUUGAGGACUGGAGAGGAGACUGGAAUUUACGGUGUAGCGGUGUAAUGCGUAGAUAUCGUGAGGAACACCAGUGGCGAAGGCGGCUCUCUGGCCCGUUCCUGACGCUGAGGCGCGAUGGCCUGGGGAGCAAACGGG